RNAcentral lists this transfer RNA (88 nucleotides) under Candidatus Peregrinibacteria bacterium. Its description in RNAcentral is "tRNA-Leu". It matches the Rfam family "tRNA". Rfam says of the family: Transfer RNA (tRNA) molecules are approximately 80 nucleotides in length. Their secondary structure includes four short double-helical elements and three loops (D, anti-codon, and T loops). Lineage: Bacteria; Candidatus Peregrinibacteriota. The record is from RNAcentral.
GCCGCUGUGGUGGAAUGGUAGACACGAGGGACUUAAAAUCCCUUGCCUGUAACUGGGCGUGUAGGUUCAACUCCUGCCAGCGGCACCA